GAGACACCCUUAUGGGGCCGGGCUUGCUUCAGUGGGGCUUUGGUGCUCACUGAGUCUGCCCCUUGAGUGUGUCGCU
Molecule: microRNA precursor, 76 nt
Filed under: Myotis brandtii (Brandt's bat)
Lineage: Eukaryota; Metazoa; Chordata; Mammalia; Chiroptera; Vespertilionidae
Description: mir-9229 microRNA precursor family
Rfam family: mir-9229 microRNA precursor family
Source: Rfam by way of RNAcentral